AGCGAACGCUGGCGGCAGGCUUAACACAUGCAAGUCGAGCGGGCAUCUUCGGAUGUCAGCGGCAGACGGGUGAGUAACACGUGGGAACGUACCCUUCGGUUCGGAACAACUCUGGGAAACUGGAGCUAAUACCGGAUACGCCCUUAUGGGGAAAGGUUUACUGCCGAAGGAUCGGCCCGCGUCUGAUUCGCUAGUUGGUGGGGUAACGGCCUACCAAGGCGACGAGCAGUAGCUGGUCUGAGAGGAUGAUCAGCCACACUGGGACUGAGACACGGCCCAGACUCCUACGGGAGGCAGCAGUGGGGAAUAUUGGACAAUGGGCGCAAGCCUGAUCCAGCCAUGCCGCGUGAGUGAUGAAGGCCUUAGGGUUGUAAAGCUCUUUUGUCCGGGACGAUAAUGACGGUACCGGAAGAAUAAGCCCCGGCUAACUUCGUG
Molecule: ribosomal RNA, 435 nt
Filed under: uncultured bacterium
Lineage: Bacteria
Description: partial 16S ribosomal RNA
Rfam family: Bacterial small subunit ribosomal RNA
Source: RNAcentral